Non-coding RNA from Pelobates cultripes (western spadefoot toad), 151 nucleotides. The record is from the annotation of a GenBank genome assembly. Lineage: Eukaryota; Metazoa; Chordata; Amphibia; Anura; Pelobatidae.
CUAGUGGACACUGUGAGACAUGGGGACGCUGUGAGACAUGGGGACAUUGGGAGACACAUUUGGACACGGAGACACUAGGGACACAGUGUCUCCAUGUCUCCCAGUGUCCCCAUGUCUCCCAGUGUCCCCUAGUCUCCCAGUGUCUGUGUCU